Molecule: ribosomal RNA, 390 nt
Filed under: uncultured bacterium
Lineage: Bacteria
Description: bacterial SSU rRNA
Rfam family: Bacterial small subunit ribosomal RNA
Source: RNAcentral
GACGAACGCUGGCGGCGUGCUUAACACAUGCAAGUCGAGCGGUAAGGCCCUUUCGGGGGUACACGAGCGGCGAACGGGUGAGUAACACGUGGGUGACCUGCCCUUAGCUCUGGGAUAAGCCUGGGAAACUGGGUCUAAUACCGGAUAUGACUCCAUGACGCAUGUUGUGGGGUGGAAAGCCUUGUGCGGCUAGGGAUGGGCCCGCGGCCUAUCAGCUUGUUGGUGGGGUGAUGGCCUACCAAGGCGACGACGGAUAGCCGGCCUGAGAGGGCGACCGGCCACACUGGGACUGAGACACGGCCCAGACUCCUACGGGAGGCAGCAGUAAGGAAUAUUGCGCAAUGGGCGAAAGCCUGACGCAGCGACGCCGCGUGAGGGAUGACGGCCUGU